UUCGUCACACUAUCAUUAACUGAAUCCAUAGGUUAAUGAGGCGAACCGGGGGAACUGAAACAUCUAAGUACCCCGAGGAAAAGAAAUCAACCGAGAUUCCCCCAGUAGCGGCGAGCGAACGGGGAGGAGCCCAGAGCCUGAAUCAGUGUGUGUGUUAGUGGAAGCGUCUGGAAAGGCGCGCGAUACAGGGUGACAGCCCCGUACACAAAAAUGCACAUGCUGUGAGCUCGAUGAGUAGGGCGGGACACGUGGUAUCCUGUCUGAAUAUGGGGGGACCAUCCUCCAAGGCUAAAUACUCCUGACUGACCGAUAGUGAACCAGUACCGUGAGGGAAAGGCGAAAAGAACCCCGGCGAGGGGAGUGAAAAAGAACCUGAAACCGUGUACGUACAAGCAGUGGGAGCACGCUUAGGCGUGUGACUGCGUACCUUUUGUAUAAUGGGUCAGCGACUUAUAUUCUGUAGCAAGGUUAACCGAAUAGGGGAGCCGAAGGGAAACCGAGUCUUAACUGGGCGUUAAGUUGCAGGGUAUAGACCCGAAACCCGGUGAUCUAGCCAUGGGCAGGUUGAAGGUUGGGUAACACUAACUGGAGGACCGAACCGACUAAUGUUGAAAAAUUAGCGGAUGACUUGUGGCUGGGGGUGAAAGGCCAAUCAAACCGGGAGAUAGCUGGUUCUCCCCGAAAGCUAUUUAGGUAGCGCCUCGUGAAUUCAUCUCCGGGGGUAGAGCACUGUUUCGGCAAGGGGGUCAUCCCGACUUACCAACCCGAUGCAAACUGCGAAUACCGGAGAAUGUUAUCACGGGAGACACACGGCGGGUGCUAACGUCCGUCGUGAAGAGGGAAACAACCCAGACCGCCAGCUAAGGUCCCAAAGUCAUGGUUAAGUGGGAAACGAUGUGGGAAGGCCCAGACAGCCAGGAUGUUGGCUUAGAAGCAGCCAUCAUUUAAAGAAAGCGUAAUAGCUCACUGGUCGAGUCGGCCUGCGCGGAAGAUGUAACGGGGCUAAACCAUGCACCGAAGCUGCGGCAGCGACGCUGAUGCGUUGUUGGGUAGGGGAGCGUUCUGUAAGCCUGCGAAGGUGUGCUGUGAGGCAUGCUGGAGGUAUCAGAAGUGCGAAUGCUGACAUAAGUAACGAUAAAGCGGGUGAAAAGCCCGCUCGCCGGAAGACCAAGGGUUCCUGUCCAACGUUAAUCGGGGCAGGGUGAGUCGACCCCUAAGGCGAGGCCGAAAGGCGUAGUCGAUGGGAAACAGGUUAAUAUUCCUGUACUUGGUGUUACUGCGAAGGGGGGACGGAGAAGGCUAUGUUGGCCGGGCGACGGUUGUCCCGGUUUAAGCGUGUAGGCUGGUUUUCCAGGCAAAUCCGGAAAAUCAAGGCUGAGGCGUGAUGACGAGGCACUACGGUGCUGAAGCAACAAAUGCCCUGCUUCCAGGAAAAGCCUCUAAGCAUCAGGUAACAUCAAAUCGUACCCCAAACCGACACAGGUGGUCAGGUAGAGAAUACCAAGGCGCUUGAGAGAACUCGGGUGAAGGAACUAGGCAAAAUGGUGCCGUAACUUCGGGAGAAGGCACGCUGAUAUGUAGGUGAAGCGACUUGCUCGUGGAGCUGAAAUCAGUCGAAGAUACCAGCUGGCUGCAACUGUUUAUUAAAAACACAGCACUGUGCAAACACGAAAGUGGACGUAUACGGUGUGACGCCUGCCCGGUGCCGGAAGGUUAAUUGAUGGGGUUAGCGCAAGCGAAGCUCUUGAUCGAAGCCCCGGUAAACGGCGGCCGUAACUAUAACGGUCCUAAGGUAGCGAAAUUCCUUGUCGGGUAAGUUCCGACCUGCACGAAUGGCGUAAUGAUGGCCAGGCUGUCUCCACCCGAGACUCAGUGAAAUUGAACUCGCUGUGAAGAUGCAGUGUACCCGCGGCAAGACGGAAAGACCCCGUGAACCUUUACUAUAGCUUGACACUGAACAUUGAGCCUUGAUGUGUAGGAUAGGUGGGAGGCUUUGAAGUGUGGACGCCAGUCUGCAUGGAGCCGACCUUGAAAUACCACCCUUUAAUGUUUGAUGUUCUAACGUGGACCCGUAAUCCGGGUUGCGGACAGUGUCUGGUGGGUAGUUUGACUGGGGCGGUCUCCUCCUAAAGAGUAACGGAGGAGCACGAAGGUUGGCUAAUCCUGGUCGGACAUCAGGAGGUUAGUGCAAUGGCAUAAGCCAGCUUGACUGCGAGCGUGACGGCGCGAGCAGGUGCGAAAGCAGGUCAUAGUGAUCCGGUGGUUCUGAAUGGAAGGGCCAUCGCUCAACGGAUAAAAGGUACUCCGGGGAUAACAGGCUGAUACCGCCCAAGAGUUCAUAUCGACGGCGGUGUUUGGCACCUCGAUGUCGGCUCAUCACAUCCUGGGGCUGAAGUAGGUCCCAAGGGUAUGGCUGUUCGCCAUUUAAAGUGGUACGCGAGCUGGGUUUAGAACGUCGUGAGACAGUUCGGUCCCUAUCUGCCGUGGGCGCUGGAGAACUGAGGGGGGCUGCUCCUAGUACGAGAGGACCGGAGUGGACGCAUCACUGGUGUUCGGGUUGUCAUGCCAAUGGCACUGCCCGGUAGCUAAAUGCGGAAGAGAUAAGUGCUGAAAGCAUCUAAGCACGAAACUUGCCCCGAGAUGAGUUCUCCCUGACUCCUUGAGAGUCCUGAAGGAACGUUGAAGACGACGACGUUGAUAGGCCGGGUGUGUAAGCGCAGCGAUGCGUUGAGCUAACCGGUACUAAUGAACCGUGAG
Molecule: ribosomal RNA, 2757 nt
Filed under: Escherichia coli
Lineage: Bacteria; Pseudomonadati; Pseudomonadota; Gammaproteobacteria; Enterobacterales; Enterobacteriaceae
Description: partial 23S ribosomal RNA
Rfam family: Bacterial large subunit ribosomal RNA
Source: RNAcentral